Molecule: long non-coding RNA, 650 nt
Organism: Oncorhynchus keta (chum salmon)
Lineage: Eukaryota; Metazoa; Chordata; Actinopteri; Salmoniformes; Salmonidae
Exons: 3
Source: RefSeq, a predicted model, not a curated record
UCUGGUCUAAAGUAGUGCACUAUAUAGGGAAUAGGGCUCUGGUCUAAAGUAGUGCACUAUAUAGGGAAUAGGGCUCUGGUCUAAAGUAGUGUACUAUAUAGGGAAUAGGGCUCUGGUCUAAAGUAGUGCACUAUAUAGGGAAUAGGGCUCUGGUCUAAAGUAGUGUACUAUAUAGGGAAUAGGGCUCUGGUCUAAAGUAGUGCACUAUAUAGGGAAUAGGGCUCUGGUCUAAAGUAGUGUACUAUAUAGGGAAUAGGGCUCUGGUCUAAAGUAGUGUACUAUAUAGGGAAUAGGGCUCUGGUCUAAAGUAGUGCACUAUAUAGGGAAUAGGGCUCUGGUCUAAAGUAGUGUACUAUAUAGGGAAUAGGGCUCUGGUCUAAAGUAGUGUACUAUAUAGGGAAUAGGGCUCUGGUCUAAAGUAGUGUACUAUAUAGGGAAUAGGGCUCUGGUCUAAAGUAGUGCACUAUAUAGGGAAUAGGGCUCUGGUCUAAAGUAGUGUACUAUAUAGGGAAUAGGGCUCUGGUCUAAAGUAGUGUACUAUAUAGGGAAUAGGGCUCUGGUCUAAAGUAGUGUACUAUAUAGGGAAUAGGGCUCUGGUCUAAAGUAGUGUACUAUAUAGGAAAUAGGGCUCUGGUCUAAAGUAGUGUACU